Molecule: long non-coding RNA, 4854 nt
Filed under: Populus tremula
Lineage: Eukaryota; Viridiplantae; Streptophyta; Magnoliopsida; Malpighiales; Salicaceae
Description: long non-coding RNA (PTRE_LNC001561)
Source: RNAcentral
AUCAUUAUCCAGCCAAAUAGAUGCAUAUGCAUCAUUCUCUUCUGCUUCCAUCUUUGAAAGUGCAUUGGGAAGGUAAUUUACACUUUUCACGGUGGCAAAUUGCGGGGGUUUUAUUGGGACUGAAGAAGUUACUACCUUGAUGCCUCUUGAAUCAUGUGGAGACUGAUCUUGGAUUACAAUGGCAUAAAGAGCUGGCUGAUGGCAGUCAGAUGGAGAUAGUUGGAAAUCACCAGGUCCUGCCGAGAGCCAGUAUCUUAGUGAUCCUGUCUUGCACUUUGAAGCACUCACUGUUUGUAUGAGUAUUCUCCUUAUAUUUUCCCUAUCAAAAGGGAGAUUGAUUUUGGCCAAGGAUGCUGACCUUAAUAUACGAUCAAGGUGUUGGUCGAAUUCAUAUAAGUGCCUGAGAUGUGGUAACAGAUGAGGAUCUUGAUUAGCAAUUAAUACUUGAUUGAAAGCUAAGUGAGGAAUACUUGUUCAAAUGGAAAUAUCAAUGAUUCAUCAACAUAUUACCGCAUGUUUUCCUUUUUUCAGUUGCCAAAGCAGUUUAAUUUUCUUGUCCUUAAAAUUUAGAUGAUGAUUGUUCCAUCAUAUGCAUUGCAGAAAAUGUUCGAAGAAUCGUAUGAAACAGGGAGGUAAAAUAAUAUACUUGAAAUACAAUGAGGUUAAAAAUGCAAAACUUGGAAAUUGUACGGUUGCACAAAAUCAGCAUUUUAAAGGAAUAUUAAAGAACUUGGAAAUUGUACUGUUUCCUGCAAAACUUCAAGAGCUUGCAACCAUUUAAAAUGUGAACCAAGCUUGACAGAUACAAUAGAAUCAAGAGUUGAAUUAGUGGAGCCAAGAACUGUUUAUACUGUAACUGUAAGACAUUGUCACGUUGAAUCCUUAUAAACUUAAACAUAAUAUUAUGCCUGUGCUUUGCUAUUUGAGCUUUUGGAGCAUUGGUAGUAUAACCAAUAGACUUAGAAACAUGAAAUUCGUUUACAGGUCUUGGUAGUUCAAUGGAUGCAAACAGCAUAAUACUAUUCCUACUUAUGAAUAACAAAAAAAACUUCGAAUUGUCUAUAAUAGUAUUAGACUAUUCAAGAAGAAAAGGUAAUCCAUCUGAAAAGUAAAUUAUACCAACCCAUCUACUAUUGCAGCAGUAUCAAAGACACCAUGUCCCCUGUGGACCAUGUGGUCAUCCAAAGGUAUCACCAUGGCUGAUGUAUCUGUUGUUAUUCCUCCAAAAAUGCUAGAGUACAUGGCCAAGAAUUGCUGCUUUCCUUUCUGAUUUUCUCGGUUUUUCUUUAGCCUUUCAAAAGCCUUCAAAAACAUAUAUAUAAAUGGCAUUUAACCAAGCCUUCCCCUUCUCCCAUUGCACCAAAAUGGAAUCAGACCAAAAAAAGUUUCUAAGCAAUUAAGGAAUACAUCUUGACUUUUAAUCUUUAAUAUAAAACAGAAAUGUCCUCCACUAACACCAAAUUAAGCCCAGAUCAACAAAACUAUGCAACUUGUAUUCACUAUUAUAGCAUCGCUUUAAGGACUAAUCAAUUUUCACCAAUCUCUCUCCAUAACACAAUUUAAAAUCUACUCUUAUUUAGCAGUAAAGUACAGUGAACCGUUUAUUUUUUAAGAGAGAGAGAGAGAGGACGAACCUCUAAGCAGGUUAGGAUUGGAACAUCAGAGAUUUGAGUAUUAGAAUCUGUCACCGCAAAGGAAAGACAUUAGUAUUAAAUUUCUCACUAGUCUUUACAUUCUAUGAUUUGUAGAGUAGAAAUUGAAAUCUAAGGAAGCCAGUAAGGGAUCACAUGGCAUGGUGACUGGUUGAAUUUUCAAAGAACACAACUUACCAACCAAAGCUUCAGCUUGAUGAGAGCAUCUAGCAAUCUUCACUUUCCCAAACAACCCAUGUUGUGAAAUCAACCCAAGUCUUUGAAAUGAAAGAUUUCUCGGUACAAGACACGAAUUAUGAAAGUGAUCAGGCAGAUUUAUGCUAGUAUUUGGGUGUUGAAAACUGGGUUUUGGCAGAGAAGUUGAAAGAGAAGCCAUGGGACCCCAAACUAGUGAGAGAGUUUCUUCAAACUGCGGCUUGAUCGUAGGUUGAUGGUGGUGAUGAUUAGUGUUUUAAAGUGCAGUGUUGGUGACUUCAUGUGAAUGGAUUCCAAAGGAAAAGGCAGUGCUAGUGUAUAAAUUUCGCCGGCGGAGAUUUAUAUAGAAAGGGUAAACUACAGUUAUACCCUCUUACUAUUUUAUAAAUUUCGGUUUGGUCCUUCUCCCACUGAUUUACCAGCUCAACCUAUCAAAAUUGCAAGUAGUCUCUCCCCUCCCACGGUUCCUUCUCCCACUGAUUUACCGACUCAACCUAUCCAAAUUGCAAAUAAUCUUCCAAACCGUGGUUUCUACAUAAUUAUAAUAAAAAAUUAUAGUUAGAGAGUCAGAUUAUGGUGAAAAACAAAGAAGAAUGUAGACAAACAACUAUUUUUCAAGGACAAAACUCGUUGAUCUCAGUAAACUCUAUUUAAAUAUAAAAGUUUUAUUUAAAUUUUGUUUUUUUUAUUUUAUUUACUGAAAAUUAAAAAAGUAGAUUGGAUCUCAUAGAUGUUUAUGAAUCGGGUUGAUCAUUUAUUUUUUAGUUGAUGAGAUGGUGAUUUAAUAGUAAAAAUGGAUUUUUUAAGGUUUUAUGAUGUUUUUUUAUAUAUUUUCAGAUGGAAUAAAAGUGAAAAUUAGAUUUUUUUACCUUUUAGAGUCGGUUGUCUAAUUUUAUAGUCAUUAUUUAAAAUAGCAAGUGAGACGUUGCUUACUAUUUAAAAAAAUUAAAAACCAAUAAGGGCAAACCUUAAAAAAAUAAAAUAUAAUUAAAAAAAGUUACAAACAAUUGUGUUGACCUUUUUUUAAAGUCCAAGCAUGAUCGGGCAACUUCGUCAAUGAACCUAACUUUUUUAAAAAAAGAAUUAUCUUUCAAAACUAAGUCUUGAUUGAUUUUUCUUGUUGAGUUUUUUAUAAUUUUAUCCUUUAAUAAUUUGUUUUAUUUUGAUAAUUAUAAGUUUUUUACGGUGUAAAAAAAAAUACCCUUAUAUUUGAUUAAUAUUUAAUUUUACGAGUAUCAAUUUUUUUAUAUAAAUAAAUAAAAAAUAAUUUUAAAAUAAACAAAGUUACUGAACCUAGUGAAGUCCAUCCCUUGGAUUAUAUAUUUAGCAUGGUACCCUGUUUUCUAUAUUUUCUUGAAAAUGACUCGCCCCACUUGUAAUUUCUUUAAGAAAAUCCAUUUAAUUAUGUUUUUCAAGUGAUCUAGAUCCUCUGUUUAUCUUGCAGUAAGCAAGCAUAUCCACUGCAGGUCACUUUGCAGGAUGAAAGAAAACCUUAGCACUGCACCAUAAUGUACCCUUUACCUUCUUUGAUAACAAGGAAAGGGGGGAGAUAUGGAUGUAUUUCUUUGAAAUGUAAUUUGAAGUUGACUGUAAAUUGCAGUUUCGAAAUUUUGACGCUGGAUCCACCAAACUAUACAGCUACAUCAGAUGCCUUCACUCUCCACUGGAGAUGGUGAGCACUGAAUAAGCAAUUCGAAUCAAUUUAUUUUUUUACAGAAGAUAGGUUUUGCUUUUACACAGAAAAUAUGUAGCUCCUACAUCAAGCUCCAAAGCCUGUGAAAGGAAAGCAGUAGUAUUUUGUCGUUGAAGUCCCACUUUGCAGCACCAAAGAAAGGAAGAAAUAAUGGAGUCAAGGGACCGGAACUCGGACUGCAGGGGGGCCUGAUUUCAUGUCCUCUAGUAUAAGAGCCAAGAGAGCCCGAGUUAUGGGUCCUUCUUUGCCUACAAAUGAAUGCACGCCAAAAUAUAAAUUUUAGGAAAAUGAUAAGUUUCCAACUGCAUUGUUUUUCAAAUAUGAUAAGGUUUCCACCGAGAUAUAAAUUUUGGGAAAAUGGCUUGCAUAAGGGACAGAAUGAAAUGCAGCGCACUUGGAGUGAAAAAUAAGUGGCAAGGCAGUGCAAAGAGGGAGAAAAUAUAGUACAAUCAUUUACCAAAGUUUUCCAGUCAUGUGCUUCUGUGAAUUUAGCAUUUGUGAGCUUCGAAAGGGGCCUCCAAUGGAAGAUUUAUGGUACAGUGGAUGUACCAAAGUUUCGGCCAUACAAAAAGAAAACUCAGCAACAAGAAAACAGUCAUGCACGUACUUUCAUCAAUGGCUAAAGAGCCACCCAAAAUGGAUGGCAUCCUAUUGAUUUAAUGGAAAGUACCCUUGCUUUGUACUCUGAAUUGAAGAGAAGCAAGAAAAAACUUCGAUCAAUUUUAUAAGGUUCUGAAAACCAUGUUGGCUCAAUAUCAACCUAGCAUCAUGCUUGCAUGUAAAAUUCAGCUUGAAGGAUGCAUAGUUUAUUGCAGAGAAGUUUCUUACCAUCACCAAUGACCUGAUUGUCCCACUGCACCACAGGGCGAACAAGUACUCCACUGCCAAUAAGCAUCAUCUCAUCUGCUUUCUUUCCUUCCUCUACAGUCACAUCAUCAAUCUUUAUUCCAUGGAGUUUACCCUCCUUUACCAAUCCCUCUGCUAGUGUCAAAACUCUCUUAGCCGUGCACCCACUCAAAAUUUUGUCAAAGGCGGGCAUCAGAAGGUCUUUUUCCUUGGUAACAAAUGCUACAUUCAUGCUGGGCCCUUCAGCAACGAAUCCAUCAUUAUCCAGCCAAAUAGAUGCAUAUGCAUCAUUCUCUUCUGCUUCCAUCUUUGAAAGUGCAUUGGGAAGGUAAUUUACACUUUUCACGGUGGCAAAUUGCGGGGGUUUUAUUGGGACUGAUGAAGUUACUACCUUGAUGCCUCUUGAAUCAUGUGGAGACUGAUCUUGGAUUACAAUGGCAUAAAGAGCUGGCUGAUGGCAGUCAGAUG